RNAcentral lists this ribosomal RNA (227 nucleotides) under uncultured bacterium. RNAcentral describes it as "partial 16S ribosomal RNA". It matches the Rfam family "Bacterial small subunit ribosomal RNA", at positions 118 to 347 of the family's 1533-position model. The record is from RNAcentral.
UGAGCAAUCUGCCCUUGACUCUGGAAUAACAGUUGGAAACAGCUGCUAAUACCGGAUACGACCUCCGACGGCAUCAUCUGGAGGUGGAAAGCUCCGACGGUCAAGGAUGGGCUCGCGGCCUAUCAGCUUGUUGGUGAGGUAACGGCUCACCAAGGCUUCGACGGGUAGCCGGCCUGAGAGGGCGACCGGCCACACUGGGACUGAGAUACGGCCCAGACUCCUAGGAG